CCUACGGGAGGCAGCAGUGGGGAAUAUUGGGCAAUGGGCGCAAGCCUGACCCAGCAACUCCGCGUGAAGGAAGAAGGCUUUCGGGUUGUAAACUUCUUUUCUCAGGGACGAAGCAAGUGACGGUACCUGAGGAAUAAGCAACGGAGAAUUACGUGCCAUCAGCCGCGGUAAUACGUAGGUGGCAAGCGUAAUCAGGAUUUACGGGGUGUAAAGGGCGUGUAGGCGGGAAAGCAAGGCAGAUGUGAAAACCAUGGGCUCAACCUGUGGCCUGCAGUUGAGACUGUUUUUCUUGAGUAUUGGAGAGGCAGACGGAAUUCCCAGUGUAGCGGUGAAAUGCGUAGAUAUUAGGAGGAACACCAGUGGCGAAGGCGGUCUGCUGGACAGCAACUGACGCUGAGGCGCGAAAGCGUGGGGAGCAAACAGGAUUAGAUACCCCAGUAGUC
This 443-nucleotide ribosomal RNA is filed under the name uncultured bacterium. RNAcentral's name for it is "partial 16S ribosomal RNA". It matches the Rfam family "Bacterial small subunit ribosomal RNA", at positions 338 to 795 of the family's 1533-position model. The record is from RNAcentral.